ACUAACGUUAACUGUUUGUGUGUCACAUCUUGGUGAAGACGGCGGAGUAAAACGCGACAGUGUUUAGUUUCUUAAGAAGAAAGAAAGGUCCCAAACUGCUGGAUGUGGUUUUAAAAGCUGAAACAAAGCUACACAGAACAGGUCGCAGAGCCGCGAGGAACUUUAAUAUGAAGUCUGAGAGGAAGCUGUCAGCGGACCAGGGGACAGCUUUACCUCAAAAUGUUCUGGAAGUGAUUGUUGGUGAAGAGGAGCAGCAGGAGUGUAGCUCCAGUGUGGACCAGCAGGAGCCAGAGCCCCCUCCACACAUUAAAGAGGAACAGGAGGAACUGUGGAUCAGUCAG
This is a long non-coding RNA of Perca fluviatilis (European perch), 341 nucleotides long. RefSeq lists it as uncharacterized. Lineage: Eukaryota; Metazoa; Chordata; Actinopteri; Perciformes; Percidae. The record is from RefSeq and is a predicted model, not a curated record. The transcript has 3 exons.